AAAAUGAUAACACUAAAUUUUAAUAUUCGUCGACAUUAAUAAAUAAAUUACUAAAGACUUGAUGCAAUUCACACUAAUCUACAGUACCAAUGUUCCUGAAUAUACAAUUCAUAAAACUACUCGAUCGAUUUUGACGAAAAUUUCAGUGAUUAUUUUCAAUAUCAGAAAAAAAUAAUAUUUAAUCCACCAUGCCACAGAAAAACACCGUAUUGGACAAAUUAGUUUUAUCCAAGUGAGGUGCAGUUUAAUCAUGGUGUACCAAAAUAGCGGUGCUGUGUUUAUUUUUUAUUAGGUGAAGUCAAGAUAAACAACUAGUAGUUGUAUUUUAUAUGUAAUUUAUAAUACGCAUGCAUCAAUUUUUAUUAGGUUCUGAGCUAAAAUAAACAAACACAGAUUGAGAAAUUUAAAGCAUCUAAAGAAACAGCAGAAAAAUUGAUGCAUAAUUGAUGCAAUUGAUACUUGUGAAACAAUUUCCACUAGCGAAGACAAAGUGAGAGCUUUAUGACAGCAACCUCAUUAAUUAUUUUAUUCAAUUAAGAUGCAAUAUCGAACGUGCUCCUCACUUAUUAUAUCAACCACUAUUGUUAUACUUAAAAUUAGAAACACUUGUAAAUAGAAGAAAAAGGCUUGAUCUAUGUUUUAUUUUUAAAUUAAAUAAUGGGGAUAUUAACUGUCCGGAAUUGCUUUAUUGAAUUUCUAUGUACCAAAUUUUUGAACUAGGCAGUUGUAUACAUUUUAUAUGCCACUCCAACGUUCAAAAUAUGGUCAAAAUGCCCUUAUAAAUAGAUUAAUGCAACUUGUAAAUUAUUUAAAUGUUGAUCUGGUUUCCUGUGUUUCACUAAAUGAUUUUAAUUAUUACUUAAAUAAUAUUUUGGCUAUCCUUUAAAUGUUACAUUCUACAGUUUUUCUUUAUUUCUAUAGCUUUCAUUGUUGUAUAUUUUCUUUUUUUUUUUUUGUAUUUUUAAUGUUUUUUUUUUUUUUUUUUUUUGGUGAAUUCUUUUGAUCAUAAUUUUGUCAAACAUCACAUUUAUUAUACUUAAACAUGUCAAUUUAUUAAUUAUACUACUAUCUGUACUGUCGUAUUAUAUGUAAGAUUAAUUAGUAAUGUAAUAAUAAACAUUUAUAUAAA
Long non-coding RNA from Aphis gossypii (cotton aphid), 1129 nucleotides. RefSeq lists it as uncharacterized. Lineage: Eukaryota; Metazoa; Arthropoda; Insecta; Hemiptera; Aphididae. The record is from RefSeq and is a predicted model, not a curated record. The transcript is spliced from 3 exons.